GUGUUGUGCCAGUUGCGGGUAGCAACUUACAUGUCUAGUACACGAAGCUAUCAUCCAGUUUGCCGAUAUCCAGGAAAUUGUUUGCUGAUGUAAGACUAAAAAUUUAUUCGGCUAAAUAACAUUGUGUAGCACAUGCAGACAUUCUGAACAGCACGGUAACCUCCGUGAGCACUCCUUGUAAAUUAACCAAAAUUUUUCAGAUGACUUAGGCAACCAGAAUCAGGGAUACUUAUUGUGAGGCCUGUUUGUUCAAGAAAUUGAAAUGCCAUUACUGGUUGAAACAAAGCAGGAAUUCCAUCUGGAUUAGAUUUACAUUGUCCAGCUACGGAAAUUUCACAUUGGACAAAGGGAAAUUACAGUAAAAAGGCUGAAACUAAUAAAAAGUGCUGUAUUGGUUUCUAAGUGCAUUCACGCCAAUGUAUAGUUCCUGUCGGUAUAAAGCUAACAGAAAAUGACACUGAGAACUGAAAGGAAAAUGAUUGAGGAUUUUGAACAGUGUUUAACAUUAAAAUUUUUAUUUCAAACUGAAUAGCGCGACACUUGUUUUGUUACCCAGGCUCCGUUGUAAAUCCUAUAAGGAGGAAAAUUUCCAAAAGGAUAAUUGAACUUCGAAUAUAGAAGUAAACUGGGCCAGUUCGGUUUUCUCUGCCAAUUCUCAGCAGAAGAAAGUCCCAUCUGGUCAUUUACGCGAACCUUCGUGAAGUCCUAACCCUUCCUUGAAUUAAUACUCGAGAGUAGGUAGUUUGGAAACCGUCGGGACUGCAACCUGGAUUCGUAUCAAACUUACUUUUUUUUAGCGGGGGAUGGGCACUCCCAAACCAACUUUCUUCCUAGUUCCAUCUCGUAGUUCUUUUAUCUUUUUCCUACCUUCCUCUCGUUACAUUGGUUCCUUAUCCUUGCUCUUCUUGUAGGAACAGAGAGAGGCAGCUAUUCCUACAGCCGGCGUCUGGACGAGUUGGCCAGGAUCAUUGGAUCAUUGAAACUGCAUGAGAGCGGUCUGUCAGUUUAUCUUAUAAAGCAGACAGCCCGUUCUCACCCAGAACCCGCUGAUGACCUGACGGGGAGCGGUCCGCUCCUUACUUAAUGGAAAAGCUGUUUUCAAAUUCCAAUAAUGUUUGGCAUGAUGGAAAUCUUUUACUGGGAAUUCUUCAUCAUCUGCCUGAAGGUAUGAUCUGUUAAUGGCACAACCUAUGGCGUGUUAAAUAGUGUUAUUCUAGAUUAUUCUGUCUUGACAUGUUCCUUGAAGAUUCCUAGAAAAAUGGAUGGAUUUCCUUUUCCUAAUAAUACCCAUCAGUUGCAAUUAGUUUUGUAUAGACAAAAAUAACCGGCCAUGUUUAGCUAAGUGCAGCGGAUUGAGGUGAAUAUCCGAAAAACCGGCCACUGUUUUGUUCAGCCUCUGGCUAGUAACUUUUAGUCUCUUCAUUACUAAUCCAUAGUUGUCUUCUACAAUAGCAAAUUCUCUAGUGAAAUUACUAACAUGAAUUCGGCAGUUGUCAACGCCGAUUUCGGAGGGGAAAAGAGAUUGGAGACGAGAAAAGACGUAUAUCUACAUAGUUUGAAAUUUUCAAAGGCCAUAUUGAUGGUAAAAUACUGAUCACCAUGGAGGCUUUGGUGUUGUUGCCCCAGUAACUAACCUGUGACCAACUCUGUUGAAAAUGGAUACGUCUUAAAUCGCUAAAUAAGCCGAAGUAGAACGCAGUCAAUGAUAGUUUAUUUUAUGGCGGAGUUGCAAAAGCCAUUGCGGACCGCAGUUUUUUGUUCGAUGCAGUACAAUAUCGUCAGCAGCAGUCAACAGACAUCAAAUUCAUAAUCCGUUAAGUUACUUGUUCUUGCUAAUCACUUAUGGCAUUACCUUGCUCAGUUGACUUUGGAUUGUAUCAAUCGUCCCACCAGCAAGCUCGUAAGACAAAUAACUCUGAAGACGAACAACAAAGGAGAAAAGAAUCGAAUGCAGUCGACUAUGAAAACAUCCUGGAAAAUUUUAACAAAACAAAGAACUUGCAGUUGAGAACAUUUAUCUGGCUCUGUUUACCGGCUUCCUUCCCGGGAAUUGUCGUUGUAGAAGGAACGCCCAUUAUAGAUGCUUCGUGGAAGUUGGUGACGAAAAUGUCACAUCCCUUUCGACUAAUGGCUCAUCGUUUACUCCUUCAUGGCUGAACCAAAUGAUUCCUUUUGCAUAGAGAAAACGAAAUAGCCCAAUGUUAUCUGCAUAACAUUUUGUUGGCAAAUUUCAAACAGUGUGAUCUCAACCAGUCUAUCCAUGACACGUUCCGGAAAAAGUGCACCCGUUGGGUUUAUGAUACUUGUGUAUUCCGUUCAACAAUCGUCAGUGAUUUCGACUUAACUUGUGAAAAUGAAUGGAAGCAAACUGUUGCCAGAAUGUUGAACGGAGCACUUAGGAUUGGUUACAUCGGGGUUACUAUCGUGAGAAGGAAAACAUUUACGCUGAACGUAUUUCCACUUGGGAUCUUAACGACGGCUUCCGCAUUUUCACCUGAUUGGAUCACAUUCUGCUAAUUGAGUUUUUUCUCAGGAAUUGGUGCUUCUGGCCACUUCCUAAUUAUCUUUGUCUAUGGAUUGCUGGAGUGAUGAGAUAUUAUGGUUGAACUUAUUCGGCUGCAAAUCUAGUGGGAAACUUUUAGCCACUCUACUUGUAUACCUCGUAACUGUUUCCCACUUUCGGCAGAAGUGCAAUGGUCGGGUUAUGCUCCAUCUGCGGCCGAAUAAGAGGGAUAUUAGCCCCAAACAUCUCUGACUGGGGCAAGAAAACUGAUGUCCUUGGUUUUUUCCACCAUAAACAUAUUAGUUGAGUUCCUAUGUUUCCUACUUCCGGAGACAAAAGGAGUUCCUUCCCAGCUUCAAUAAAGGAAGCUAUCGAAAUGAAACCGGAAUUCCUAGCGAAUGGUUUUUAAGCAAAAUCGCGAAAGGUCGAGCAUUAGCAAAGGCGUUAAUAAGGUUGGAUUUUGCAAUUUUGUACUUACCAAAACCAGAAUUUGUGAUACCUGAUAUGUACAUUUUCACAUUUUCGUUUCUACCCUUAGGUUACCCUUCGUUUACUACAGACGGUAGAGCCAAAUUAAUUAGAAAUAUAGUAAGAAACGAGUUUAAUGGGAAUGGUAAAAAAAAAAAAAAAAAUGGAGAACUUGAAGUUUAGAUUGGCUAGUCACCAACCAGGAAUUGAAUGCUUGUAGAAACUAACAGUGUAGGAUGCUUUAUAGACUUGUUACUAACAUUUAAUAUAGCUAAUAGUGAUUGUUAUGCUAGCAAGAUUUGAAGUCCGUGUGUUAUACUAAUGAUUGUAGGAAGUGAUUUAAAACUGAGUUAUUUGCAUAUUGAACACAAUUUAUGAAGAAAAUAGUCGAAGUAGGCGUCUGGUAGAUGUAUUUGUGACUUCUUGAAAACCUAAUUUCAUGACAGCUCUUUUGCGCUUUUUGUGAGGUGACGAGCUAGAUUGUCGCGGUGACGUAUAAUUCAAUUCCCUCGAGGACACAGAAGGCUUCCGCGAUUUGUAGGUGUAGUUAGCUAGGAAUAGUGCUAGCAGGUGCUAUUAAUGAGCGUAAGCUACUCUUUCAACUCAUCUCCCACUUGACGAAAACACAUAAUAGUUCAUUGACAUUGAACUUCCAUCACAUGGAAGAAUCCUUGAAUGAAUUUUACUUUAUUCCAUGUUAGUUAAUACAAGAUAUUUGUGAACGGCAAAGAUUGCACUUGGAAUGGGACGUUUCGAAAGAUUUUAAACUACUUCUCAGAGAAUGUCGGUAUGUAUAAGUAAAGCGAUUCUAGCUUUAUAGUACAGCUUCUACCAUGAGGUGAUUCCAUGUCAAUCUUGACUAAUUCUUUGAUAAUUCACAUAGGACAAAUACAGUCAAGUAAAGCACGCUGCAGAUUACCUGAGAGGCAAUCCUAAAUCAACUUUAUGAAAUGAGAAUAACAUAGCCUGGAAGAGGAAGUCUUCAUUUUCCACAGCUCAGAUGCCAGUAAGUGUUGUUAUUAAAAUACCGAAUCAAAUGGCGUUCCAUAACAAAGUCACAUGCGUUUCUUCGGCCUCAAAUAUGGUAAUCAUUGUUUUCUGGUUAACAAUUUAUUGCGGUAACUUUAUAGACAUCCCGCACUGCCAUAUAGUGUGCAAUCUGGUUUAAAGAUAAGCCCGACUUUUUUUUAUUUUGUAUUCGAAGAAACAUAAUCUGCUGUAACUAAAAUAAAACUCUGAUUAUAAAUAUCAUGUAAAUUUUACCGUAAGCUAAGCGGUUUUUGAAUAAAAUGAAAUCAAAGUGGUUUAUCGCAACCACUUUGAAUUUAAA
Long non-coding RNA from Daphnia magna, 4301 nucleotides. RefSeq lists it as uncharacterized. NCBI's taxonomy places the organism in Eukaryota, Metazoa, Arthropoda, Branchiopoda, Diplostraca, Daphniidae. The transcript is spliced from 12 exons. The record is from RefSeq and is a predicted model, not a curated record.